RNAcentral lists this ribosomal RNA (230 nucleotides) under uncultured bacterium. RNAcentral's name for it is "partial 16S ribosomal RNA". It matches the Rfam family "Bacterial small subunit ribosomal RNA", at positions 118 to 347 of the family's 1533-position model. The record is from RNAcentral.
UGAGCAAUCUGCCCUUCUCUUCGGAAUAAGCGUUGGAAACGACGUCUAAUGCCGAAUACGACCUCCUUUCACAUGAUCGGAGGUGGAAAGCUUCCGGCGGAGAAGGAUGAGCUCGCGGCCUAUCAGCUAGUUGGUGGGGUAAUGGCUCACCAAGGCGACGACGGGUAGCUGGUCUGAGAGGAUGGCCAGCCACAUUGGAACUGAGACACGGUCCAGACCUGUACGGGAGG